This 439-nucleotide ribosomal RNA is filed under the name uncultured bacterium. RNAcentral describes it as "partial 16S ribosomal RNA". It matches the Rfam family "Bacterial small subunit ribosomal RNA", at positions 338 to 795 of the family's 1533-position model. The record is from RNAcentral.
CCUACGGGUGGCAGCAGUGGGGAAUAUUGCACAAUGGGGGAAACCCUGAUGCAGCGACGCCGCGUGAGUGAAGAAAUAUUUCGGUACGUAAAGCUCUAUCAGCAGGGAAGAAAAUGACGGUACCUGACUAAGAAGCCCCAGCUAACUACGUGCCAGCAGCCGCGGUAAUACGUAGGGGGCAAGCGUUAUCCGGAUUUACUGGGUGUAAAGGGAGCGUAGACGGCAGCGCAAGUCUGGAGUGAAAUCCCAUGGCUUAACCAUGGAACUGCUUUGGAAACUGUGCAGCUAGAGUGCAGGAGAGGUAAGCGGAAUUCCUAGUGUAGCGGUGAAAUGCGUAGAUAGUAGGAGGAACACCAGUGGCGAAGGCGGCUUACUGGACUGUAACUGACGUUGAGGCUCGAAAGCGUGGGGAGCAAACAGGAUUAGAUACCGAGUAGUC